GAUGAACGCUGGCGGCGUGCCUAAUACAUGCAAGUCGAGCGAACGGACGAGAAGCUUGCUUCUCUGAUGUUAGCGGCGGACGGGUGAGUAACACGUGGAUAACCUACCUAUAAGACUGGGAUAACUUCGGGAAACCGGAGCUAAUACCGGAUAAUAUUUUGAACCGCAUGGUUCAAAAGUGAAAGACGGUCUUGCUGUCACUUAUAGAUGGAUCCGCGCUGCAUUAGCUAGUUGGUAAGGUAACGGCUUACCAAGGCAACGAUGCAUAGCCGACCUGAGAGGGUGAUCGGCCACACUGGAACUGAGACACGGUCCAGACUCCUACGGGAGGCAGCAGUAGGUAAUCUUCCGCAAUGGGCGAAAGCCUGACGGAGCAACGCCGCGUGAGUGACGAAGGUCUUCGGAUCGUAAAACUCUGUUAUUAGGGAAGAACAUAUGUGUAAGUAACUGUGCACAUCUUGACGGUACCUAAUCAGAAAGCCACGGCUAACUACGUG
This 497-nucleotide ribosomal RNA is filed under the name uncultured bacterium. RNAcentral's name for it is "partial 16S ribosomal RNA". It matches the Rfam family "Bacterial small subunit ribosomal RNA", at positions 28 to 507 of the family's 1533-position model. The record is from RNAcentral.